RNAcentral lists this long non-coding RNA (647 nucleotides) under Gopherus agassizii (Agassiz's desert tortoise). Its description in RNAcentral is "lncRNA (ENSGAGG00000023210.1)". The record is from RNAcentral. Lineage: Eukaryota; Metazoa; Chordata; Testudines; Testudinidae.
UACCAAGUGGUUAAUGUUUGUUGAUUGCAGCACCAUGCUCUGCUCUCAGUGCAGCUUUUGGAUGCAGUGUGGCGCUUCUCGGUCUCCAGGGAACUCGUGGCAUUUUGCCCAGAUGGCAUCAGCCUGUGUCUGAAGGACACAGCCCGGCGCCUACCGAUCUCCGCAGCGGGAGCCUUAGCGACAGGUGAUGCGGGGGCUCUGCUUCUGUCUCUGUUUGGGGUGGGGGGGAGCUCCUGCAAAUGCCAGGCAUCACCCUUUAAUCUAGGUGAAUGAUCCUGUACCUGGCUGUAGCCUGGGAUUCCUUUGUGUGGCGGAGAGCCAGCUGGGUGGGCUGGAUCCAGUCGCUCCGGCAGGGGAGUGUGCUCACUUGGCUCCUUCUUCUUCGACCAGCUGUGCAGGUCAAAGAAGAGUCAUCCUCCUUUAAGUGCCAAGAAGAGGCCUUCUACCUUCUGGUGCAAGAAGACAUUGAACAAGAAUUGGAAGCUAAAGCUACCAAAGAACUUGAAAGAAAACUAAGCAGAGCCACACGCUACAUGUUGUACAUUGCUGGAGAAGUGACAUGAGGGCCAAAGAGGAUCUCACAUGUUACAGUAUUUUUCACAGGUUGUGGCUUCCAGAUUCAAUUCCUUUCAAUAGAUAAAAAUAGA